CGGGGGGGUGUCGGGGGGCUGGAAGUCUCGGACCCUCCGCCGCCGCCCACAGAGGCCGGGAACCGGAGACAAAAUGGCGGAGCCGUCUCGGAGCCCGGCUUGGGACGUGGGUCGGGAAGCAGGCCGAGGCCUGCGGGCUCCCGGCGCGGUGGGAGUCCCCGGGCCUAGGGAUUUGACCCCUCCGGUGUCCUUAGCUUGCAGGCGCUCGCCCGCCAGCAGGCCGGGGCGGAGGGUGGAGGAGUUGGUUGUAAAAUGGCGGCUGGAGGGGGAGGGCGAGUCCCCGGGCGGGGGAGGGGGGAGGAGAUGGCGGGUGCCGGCUCCCGGCGUGCGAUCCCCACGGGAGCCCUCGGGAACCGCGGCGGGGUGUGGAGGAGGACACUUGGGUGGGGCGAUGUGAGGAACGGUACCGGUCGCUCGGGAGAGGGCGGCAUCGAGGAGCUGUAGCGCUAGGCGCCUUUCGGGGAAAUAUGGCGGGUGGGGGCGGUGGCUUUUCCCCUGAGGCCCAGUGUGGGGCGGCGGCCGUGGAGCCUCACAAAGGAGAAGCCUCUGGAACGGACGGCUUCUCGGGGCCGGCGGUGGAGAGGAGUCUUCUGGUGAGGGUGGAGUGUUUGGAAAUCACUGCAGAGCCUCCCUCCUUGGGUGGAGGCGAGCUGAGAUGCUGCGAUUGGAUUUCUUCCUUUGGGCCGACACACCUUGGAGUUGAGAGUUUGGGGGGCUUUUUAGCCUCGCCUUCUUCCGGGGAGGUGCAGAACCUCACUCCUACCCCGUUUGUUCUUACCCAGGAUAUCCUAAAGUUGCUGCGGGUUUUUUUUUUCCCCCUUCUGUCCCCAUCCUUCAUAGGCACGGAGUUCUGAUGGCUAGAAUACAGGAGACCAGGCUUGCCAGGAUUCCUUAGUACGAAUUUCCCUUUGCAGAGUCAGUGCCUCAGUUUACCCGUUUGUAAAAUUGACGACUGUACUAUUCACACUCGUCAUUAUGAAGUAUGGAAAGACCUGCUGAGAAAUGGUUAAUUCAAAUAAUGUUUAGUAGCACUUUGGGUUGACAACCCAAGUUCGGGUGGAAUGCAUGCUCUUCCUUGGCUUGGGGAGCUUUACCUAUUUUGAGCACUCAGUUGAGGCUUGGGGAGUUUGAAUUAGGAAUGUAGAAGAUUGUAGUUUUUCUGUUUUAUGAUUUCAUUGUUACAUGAUUGGGGCUCAAACCCAGGAUUGCAUGCAAGCAAGACAAGUGCUCAAAUACUGUGCUACACCACAGCUCUGUUUUAUCCAUUUUAAGAGAAUGGUUUUAUAUAUAUGUAUAUGUGUGUGUGUGUGUGUACACACACACACACAAAUUUCAAUAGUUACUCUUCUGUUAAUUUGACACACACACACCCCACCUGCAGGUGAUGGAGACUAGACCCUAGUACAUGCUAGAUUCUCAACUUAGCUCCUGCUAAUUGCAGUCUAGUUUUUUUUUUUUUUUUUUUUUUUUUUUCUGAGAAUUUCAUUGACAUAUCUACUGUGUUUGUGAAGUGUAACUAGAUAUUUGAGUUAGGCAAUAGGCCAUUAAACUAGUAUUUAAAAAUGAAAAGUCACACACAUGGUUCCUGUGAUUUAAUUAAUUGCAGGUGUAGUUCUGGCUGUUCUGAAACACUAUGUAGACCAUACUGGUCCUGAACUCAGAGAUCCGUCUCCGCCUCCCUGUGUGCUGAGAUUAAAGGCAUGAAUACUAAGGCUAGGUCCUGUGAGUUCAAUGUUUGGGAAGUGGUAGGGUCCAAUGAGACAAGAUUGGAAUUAAGUGUUCCUCAUGUUUUUUCCAUGUUAGUUAAAACAUUUGCUUUUUCAAAUGUUAGGUCAGACCCUUUUCCUUGAAUGGCAGUUUCUCCUGUGGAAGCUUUUGAACCACCAGUCCUUAGUCUUUGCCAAAGUCACAGGCCCAGCAUUUGGAAAGUAGAACAGCAGACCUCAAAACCUCCAAUUUAGGAAAGACGCUGAACUACAUUUUGUCUUGCAGAUUUCAGUUUGUAGUGAGUUGGGCUCCUGUUGGGAGCUGGAGGAGGUGGGAUGGGGAAAUAGGAGUGCAGCUCCAGGUGAGCUUGUCUGUCCCGGGAGAGUACUGGAGGUUUCCCCUCUCGAUCCCAGAAGAGGUCCCCCCCUUAAUCUGUGUCCUUGGGAGGAAGCAUGAAAUUAAUUUGAAGACUGGUGACUUAGGCUUUAUGUAAAUAUAAUAACCCUCCCUCCCCCCCAAACGAGGUAUGAGGGGAAGCUUUCUGAUUUGCUUCUAAAAGUCAUUUUAAAAAGGGAUUUGCAAACAUGAUUGUAGCUUCCAAAUAAAUGACAAUUUUUAAAUCAUACUUGGGGUUUGAAUGAUGAGAAUUUUUGAGCAAAGCUUGGCCUUGUUGGCUAUUGAGUACAGUGUUCUAGAAAAGCCAUGUGGUGACUGUACUUAAUGAGGGAAGGAAACUGGAAGCACUCCUGUGAUUUGGCCUAAGAAAGGAAAUCAGUAGAAAGGGAGAGGAAGAAGGCAGUCACAGAAAGUGAUCACUCCUACUGACUGGUAAUUCAUUUUUAUUAGUGUAACAAAAAUUGAUUAUAGUCACUGAUUAUAGUAGUAACCACUUAGUAAAUAAAAUGCCAAGGGUAGUGAAAGAAUGCAUCGCAACCCUGAGUUUUAGAUACUAUGUAAAUGUUGGCUUUUAAUUGCCUGCUCUUUUUUUUUUUAAAGUGUGUCAACAGUUUUUUUCUUUUUAUUUAUUUAUUUAUUUAUUUUUAAAUAUUUAUUUAUUAUAUGGAAGUACAUUGUAGCUGUCUUCAGACACUCCAGAAGAGGGAGUCAGAUCUCGUUAUGGAUGGUUGUGAGCCACCAUGUGGUUGCUGGGAUUUGAACUCUGGACCUUCGGAAGAGCAGUCGGGUGCUCUUACCCACUGAGCCAUCUCACCAGCCCCUAAUUGCCUGCUUCUUGCUGCUGUCAUAGGUUUCUCUUGUAUUUUGCAUGCUGGGUGGAGCCUGGUGCCUGAAUUAUCUUUUACUUUCCCCAUAGGUAAUAGAAAACAAUUUAUAUAGAUUAUUUAAUGGUCUUAGAAAAGGAGGUGAGAAGCCGUUUUAAAGAACAGCUUUAGGACAGUUUAAAGAACUGUUUAGGAGUUUAUAUAGGAAAACUUAAAGCUUGAGGCUACGACUGUUCAUUUUAAUUGUUAGUAUUCCCUCUCUCUUUCUCCUGCUCAUUCAUUCAUUCAUUGAGACAGGUUGUCUCUGAAGAGCCCCUGGCUCAACCAGAAUUCACUGUAGACCAGCCUGGCCUCAAACUCAGAAACCUUCCUCCUGCCUCAUGAGUGCUGGGGAGUGUGGCAAUAUGCCCAGUUUAGUUUAGUAAUUUAACAAGUCAGUAGUCUUAAGAAAAUAGGGUUUUGUAUAUUUGUAGCCAUAUUAAUCAGGUUACCAUAGUCAAACAAAUAAGUUUUCAUACAUUUAAAACACAUGAGUAUAGAAAAGUUAAGGAAGUGGGGCAUAGCUAGGAAUUGAACUGAGGGCCUUGUACAUCCUAGGCAAGUGAUCUACCAUGGAACUAGAUCCAUCUGUAUUUUGAGACAAGGUCUCACUAAUUUACCUAGGAUAGCCUUGAACUGGCCUUGAAAUUACCACCCUCCAGUGACAGCCUCCCAAGCAGCUGAGUUUGGCCUGUUCAAAAUUGGAGGUUUUUCCCCCUAUUUUCUGGGAUCGGAGUGGUCAACAUAUGUAAUAUUUGACUCGUGUGGUGGUUCUGCUUUUGUCUUUCCUAAACUUCAUCGUGCUCAGAUUAGCUCAGUGGGGUCUAGAAUGGUGGCACACUACUUUAAACUACACUUAGAAGACAAGGCAAGAGGAUCUCAAGUUCCAGGUUAGCCUGAGUUAUGAAAUCCUAUCUGAAAACGACAAAUUAGCCAGGUGGGAUGACACAUACCUUCAGUCUCUGCACUCAGGAAGCAGAUGCAGGCAGAUGUCUGAGUUCUAAGCUAGAAAAGAAAAGAAUUGGUUCUAUGGGGUGUGGCGUGUUGUUGAGAUCCCUGCUCCCCACCACUUGGGUUGUCACUCUGAAUACUGAAAUACCAGAAAUUCGUCUGUUCUGAGUCAUUGGCUUGAGAGCUGUUUUAAAACACCAAAAAUCUCAUUACUAAAACAUACUGUACUAGUUAGGGAAGGAUGGGGAACACAUACUCACUCACUCACUCACUCACUCACUCACUCACAGACAGGGUCUCUGAAUAUUGGCCUGGAACUCAGGAGGCCCUCUUUCUGUGCCUCCCAAGUGCUGGGAUUAAAUGUGCUCACAGUCACGUCUACCCCUGCCUUUGUUUGCAAGGGAUGCUCUUUACAAGGUGGGUGGUACAUACUGUAAUCCCAGUGCUUAAAAGGACAAGAAUCUAGGAUUUAAGGUUAACUGCAUCUGUGUGUAGUGAAUUUGAGGUUAAAUGAUACUGUCCCAAAAUAAAGGGAUACUGUGCAUUAGAUUUUUGUAAAGCAUUGUUCUUUUGUGUUACACAGUUUGGGGAUACUAUGAGUUGAUAAAUCACUGUUACUUGAAGUGAUUUUUUUACUACUGUGGAUGUUCUCUAAGGAUGCUCAUUUUAAAUUUCAUUUGUAUGAUGUGUGUGCGUUUUUCUGUGUUUUUUUUUUUGUUUUGUUUUUUGUUUUUGUUGUUGUUGUUUAAAUUUUUAUUUGACAUGGUCUCACUCUGUAGCUCUGACUGUCCUGGAACUCAGUCUGUAGACCAGGCUGGCCUUGAGCUCAGCUCACAGAGUUCCACCUGCCUUUAUAUCCUGAGUGCUGGAAUCAAAGGUGUGGGUCACUAUGCCUGGCUGUGCAUGUGUGUGUUGUGUGCUGUGGCACGUGUGUGGAGGUCAAAGGACAAUCGAUGGAAAACUUUCCACCAAGUAGGUCCUGGAGAGUGAACUCCAGUGGUCAUUCCUGACACAGGUGUUUGUCUUCACCAGAGCUGUCUCUCAGGUCCUCUUUUCACUUCCUUAAAUUAAGAACUGCUUUUAUUUUCUGUAUGAGGGUUUUGCCUUCCAGUAUGUCUUUGUACCACAUGCAUGAAUGUCUGAUGCCUGCAGAAGUCAGAAGAGGAUUUUGGAUCCCUGGAACUGGACUUAUAGGUUUAUUCCCUGUGAAAGUGCACCAUGUGCAUACCUGGUGCCCUUGAAGGUCAAGAGAGGAUGUCUCACCCCCUGAAACUGGACUUAUAGGUGAUUAUUAGCUACCAUGUGCUGGGAGCUCAAAUCUGGGCUUCUGCUAGAACAGCAAGUGCUCUUAAUCUCUGAGCCACCUCUCCAGCCCCAUAAGUCUUUUUGUUUUUUGUUUUUUUUUUUUUGUUUUAAGAUUUAUUUAUUAUAUGUAAGUACACUGUAGCUGUCUUCAGACACUCCAGAAGAGGGAGUCAGAUCUUGUUACAGAUGGUUGUGAGCCACCAUGUGGUUGCUGGGAUUGAACUCCGGACCUUUGGAAGAGCAGUCGGGUGCUCUUACCCACUGAGCCGUCUCACCAGCCCCUGUUUUUUUGUUUUCUUGAGAAUGGGUCUUGAUGUGUAGCCCAGGCUAGGUAGCAGUAUUUUGAUACUUAAUGAUGUCUCUAGAUCUCCAGAGCCUAUUGAUGCUUAUGAAUUAUCUGAAGGUAAAGUAUCUUAGCAUUUUUGUAUAGAAACCUGCUCUUUAUUUCAAAGUUCCAUUUCAAGGCAUAAUGAAUGAGGGAUUUAUGUGGCCUGCUUACAUUCAGGGUCCAUGAUAUCCCUCUUUUCCCCUUGUCAAUGAAGACAUAUCGCCCCUUUUCCCCUUGUAAAGGAGGUUCACUGUUGCUCAACCUAGGCUCAAACUUGACAUUAUCUUAGCAUCCUGAGCAGUAGGUUACUGGAAGGCUGUGCCAAGCAAAGUUCUUGUUUUUCUUUAAAGCCCUAGUUGAGGCUGAGGAUGGUAGCACAGCCUUUAAUCCCAGCACUUUUGAAGCAGAGGCAGGGGGAACUCUUAGGGAUCCAUAGUUCCAGGCCAACCAGGGCUUAAACAUAGGCCUCUGGCCUCCUUAGUAUACUCACAGCGCACAUCCAAUUCCUCAUUUAAAAUCUUUUUUUUUUUUUGGUUUUUUGAGACAGGGUUUCUCUGUGUAGCCCUGGCUGUCCUGGUACUCACUUUGUAGACCAGGCUGGCCUUGAAUCAGAAAUCUGCCUGCCUCUGCCUCCCAAGUGCUGGGAUUAAAGGUGUGCGCCACCACACCUGGCUCAUCAUUUAAAAUCUUAAAAACUAAACAAAAAUCUACCCUUUAUAAUAUCAGUGUCUCUGGGGUGUGGCGAAUGUCACACAUUAAUACAGAGUAUUUCUAAAAUACUCCCUCCCAUAUCCUUUCAUUUAUAGAAAUGUCCUUAAAUAUCAUGUGGAACAUUUUUGGAGGGGCACUGGUGGGCAUGUAAUUAGUAUUUCAGAUAGCCCAGAUAACUGUAAAGUAGAAUCUAUCAGUGCGUUGUGAGUAGCAGCACCACAAUGUGGCUAGUUUGCUACAGUUAAGUACUGUUAUAUCCAAUUUGGUGGGUGGAGUUGCCCACAUAACCUUUAUAGACGGAGCUCAUACUGUAACUAAACACUUAACAAGGCCUAUUGGAACAGUUCCAGGGGCUUGUUUAAGCUCACUAAAUAAAAGCAAGUUAUGACAAAGAGGUCCUCAAAAUUUAUCAUGAAAUCCAGAAGUUGGCAUGAACUUGCCAUUUGAUAUUACCAGUUUUCGUGUGUGUGUGUGUGUGUGUGUGUGUGUGUGUGUGUUUUAAGUUUUGGAGAUAGAACUCAAGUUCAUACAUUGUACCUUAAGUACUUGAUGAACUAAGCUGACUCCCAGUCCGUUUUUAUGUCUUUUAUUUUUGGUGAUGACAAGGGGGUCUCUGUGUCCUUGGCUGGCCUGCAACUUGCUUUGUGGUCCUGGGUGGCUUCAAACUUGAAUUAUUCUGUCACUUAGCCUCAAGCAGUGGAAAAUGACACAUAUUCUACCAUACCCCGAUAGUUUCUCUUUUAAGACAGGGUCUUACUGUGUACCCCUGACUGGUCUUCAGUUCACAGCUCCAUCUGUCUCUGCUGUCAUCUGCCACUAUGCCUGGCCUAAUUUUUAUUUUGAGACAUGGGUCUUGUUUCCAUGCAUAUGCUACCAUACCCAGGUUAGUUUCCUCACUUAAAGAAAAUUUCCUAAGCUUUGUUCUCUCACCACAGAUAUUGUAGGUCUAUGUCCUGAGAACUUUGACUUUCUUCAGAUUUUGCAUUUGGUAGAAAAUAAUAUAGACCAAAGGGAAAUUGAAGCUCUGGAAGCUGUCUCACUCUCUUAAGUGGGAAUGGGAAAAGUCAGGGAUAUGGUAGCUGCUGAUAAUAGAGCUAGCUGGUAUGCCUAGCUCUAUUAUGGUAUUAGAGUCAAAUAUGCUGUUUUAUUUUGUCUGCUUUGAGCUGGUUAGAGGUGGCAGCAGUACCCUAAGUUCAGAACUUUGCCCAUAAACAUUUGUCGACUUUCUUGUACUAUGCUGUCAAAAAUACCAGAUUUUGGGCCUGGAGAGUUGGUUUAGCAGUUAAGAGCAUUGGCUGCUCUUCUAGAAGACUUGGGUUCAAUUCUCAGCAACCACAUGGCAGCUCAUAUCUGUAACUCCAAUUCCAAGGCUCUGACACCCUCACACACACAUACUUGCAGGCAAAAUACAAAUGAACAUGGAUAUAAUUAAGUUAACAAACCAUCAGCUUUUAUGUAGAAAACAGAAUUACCAUGAUGUUCCUUAUUUUUUUUCCUCCUCUUCCACAUCUCCCUCUCUUCUUCUGUAUUGAGGAUUGAACCUUCACAUAUGCUAGACCUUCACAUAUGGCUACAUACUCUGGCUCAGCCAUUUAAUCAUCAACAUAUGUUUCCUGGUUUAUGACCUUGAAAUUUAACCUUUUAAAAUUACAUUAAUUUUUGUAGAGAUGGGCAUGUGUAGCAGAGUGUAGCGGUCAGGUGACUUCUCUUUGUUCUCUUUUAUCAUGUUGUUUCUAGAGCUCUUAUCUUUUACCACAACCUUUUUUUUUUUUCCUGGAGCCCAGAAUGACAUUGAACUCAGAUAUCUUUCUCCCGAUCACCACGUCUGACUGGAAUUAUUACUUUUAGUAUGUGUAGAGUCAGUCUGAAGCUGUGUGUGGUGGUGCAGUCUUUACAGCCUAACACCCAGGAGGCAGACACAGGCAGACUUUUGGGUUUAAGAUCAGCUUGGUUUUCAUAGUGAAUUGGAGGACAGCCAGAAUUACACAGAGAGACCUUGUCCCUAAUUAUUGACAGUGGUCUCUGCUCUGUGCAGGGUAAUAGAAUGGCAGGGUAGUGUGUUCCCUGUUGGUUCUCCUAGUUGGUAGUGACAUAAGAUGCCACUCUACUAACAAAACCUUGGUAGUGUUUGCCCAGAUGAUUCCCUGCACCACAUAAAAUGGGCAUGGUAGCACAUACUUGUAAUUCCAGCACUCAGGCAGGAGGAUAAUCACUACUACAUAGUAAGUUAAAGGCAGGCCAGUCUGAGACUGACUCAAAAACAAACAAACCAACCCAUCAUCACCACCACCACAACAAUGAAAAAAAACCCAGCAAGAACCCCAAAACAAAAAGACAGUCAUUUUCAGCCAGUCAUGUUGCACUAUACCUGUAAUUCUAGCAUUUGUGAUGUUUAGGUAGGAGAAUUCUGAAUUGAAGGCCAGCCUGGGCUACAUAGUCUGAUCUUGUCACAAACUCUGUCUUAAAAGACAACUGUUGACUACCACAAUACAUCUUUAAUUCUCUGUUUCCUAAGUACCAUUCUUUUUUUUUUAAAGAUUUAUUUAUUUAUUAUAUGUAAGUACACUGUAGGUGCCCUCAGACACUCCAGAAGAGGGAGUCAGAUCUCGUUAUGGAUGGUUGUGAGCCACCAUGUGGUUGCUGGGAUUUGAACUCCUGACCUUCAGAAGAGCAGUCGGGUGCUCUUACCCACUGAGCCAUCUCACCAGCCCCUAAGUACCAUUCUUAAGUGUUAUUCUGUCAUGCCUUAACAUGGUUUGGCUGAUGGCACAUGCCUUUAAUCAAAACACUUUGGAAUUAGAGAUUGAGGGGAUCUCUAGGUUGGGGGGCAGCCUGGUUUAAAUAAACAGCAAGUUCUAAGCUUGCUGGAGCUGCAUAGUGAGAUCUGACCUCAAGAAAAAAGAAACGACCCUGCAAAGCAGGCACCACACAUUUUCCAGGUAAAUAUUAAAUGAAGACUAGGCUGGGGACAUGGCUCAGCAGCUAAGAAUGUUUGUUGCUCUUGCAGAGGGUCCAGGCUUGGUUCCCAGCAUCCAUGAAGCAACUCACAGCUGCCUGCUAGUCCAGUUGUAGGGAGUCUGACAUUCAUUCUCUUCUGGUCUCCACAGACACCUACAUGCAUUAUGUGCACAUACAUACAUUGGAGAAUACAUACAGUAAAUAAGUAUUAAAAAAAACUUACACUUAAAGCCAAAAAAUAAAUAAAAGAGUUAAGUGAGGACAAAUUACUGUAUUUAGUCAGGUGUGUUGUACCACUUCACAUUUGAUGUUUGUGCAGUAUUGUAAAUACCAGUCCUUUCCUUCCCCCUUCACUCCGUUCAAGACAAGGUCUCAUGGAGCACACUCAGGCUACCCUUGAACUUGCUUCAUAACCUAGUCAGCCUUGAACUGCUGGUCCUCUCACUGAAGCUCUAUUCUUAGUUUUUAAUUUUAUAAUGUGGAAAUUGCUUUGGGGGCCUGGGGAGAUAGAUCAGUCUGUCAAGUGCUUGUCAUACAAUCACAGACACUGAGUUUAAAUCCCAGCAUCCAGUUAAAAACUCAGUUGUUGCUUGUCAUUCCAGCAUGUUUGUAAUCCUCUCUUGGGAGGCAGGGACUGAUGAAUCCCUGGGGCUCCCUAACCAGUUGUCAUAGCCUAAUUGUUGAACCUUACCACUUAGAGAAGUUGUUUUAAAAACCCAAGGUGGAGCUGGGUGGUAGUGCAUGCCUUUGGGAGGCAGAGUCAGGCAGAUCUCUGAAUUCAAGGCUAACCUGGUCUACAGAGUAAGUUCCUGGAUAGACAGGGCUACACAGAAAAACUGUCUAGAAAAACAAAAAAAAAUUAAAGAUAAUCAAACAUUUUCCUUUUUUGUGAAUCUGUGUAUGAUGAAUACUCUCACAAUAAUGAUGGUGAACAUAGGGAACUCAGGACAGCUUGUGGAAGGUCUUUCCUUCUUCCAUGUGGGUUGUGGAAACUGAACUAGUAGGUUCAAUUAAUUAGCCCAGGUUGAAAUUCUUUCUUUCUUUUUUUGGACUUGCUAAUUCUGAUACCUCUGCCUCACUUGUGCUAUUAUGUUGGCUGAACUUAAAGCUUUAUAAAAGCCGACCCAGGAGGUGGAGGCAAAGGGUCAGGAAUCGGUGUCAUCCUUGGCUGCAUAGAAAAUUCUAGGCUACCCAAUCACCCAACUCAAAAAUAAACAAAUGGGCCGGGCAGUGGAGGCACACACCUUUAAUCCCAGCACUUGGAAGGCAGAGACAGGCGGAUUUCUCAGCCUGGUCUACAUAGUGAAUUCCAGGAUGACCAGGGCUCCGCAGAGGAAAAAAACCCUGUCUCGAAAAACCAAAAAAAAAAAAAAAAAAAAAAAAAGAAAGAAAGAAAGAAAGAAAAUAAACAAAUGGACUGGAGAGGUGGCUCUGCAGUUAAGAGCACUUAAUGCUUUUGUGGAAGACCCAGGAUUAUUGAUAACCACUACUCUUGUAGAGGCUUAAAACUAUCUAUAACUUCAUUUGCAGAGGAUCCUGUGCCCUCUUUGGAGCUCAUCCUUGGGUACCAGGCAUGCUUGUAAUCCUAGCACUUUGUAGGUGCAAGAGGCCAGUUUCUACUAGAUAGCAGAAUUCAAAGCUAACCCAAGUUAUCCAACAUCUCAAACAACAGAUACAUGGCUAGAAUUAAGCUUCAGGAACUUAAUUGAUUCUCAUAGCUAUAUUACGGUGUGUGUGUGUGUGUGUGUGUGUGUGUGUGUGUGUGUAUCUUUGGAGGUCAGAAGAUUGUUAGGAUCCCUUGAAGUUAGGGAAUGUCUGAGCUUCGGUGUGGGUGCUGGGAACUGAACCUGAGUCCUUUGCAAGGACAACUGCUCUUAAUUUCUGCAUCACUUCUCCAGCCCUUCUUUGCAAUAGAUAGCUUUGGCAUGUAGUUUUGAGAUGUGUGAACAGAUGAACAGAGGUUAUGGAAUCUUCCUCCUUUCUUGGUGACCGAUAACCAUACCCUCUCUCACUCUCGCCCCCUCCCCCCAGGGUAUCUCUGUGUAGCCCUGGUGGCUGUCUUGGAACUCACUCUAGACCAGGAUGGCCUCAGAUUCAGAGAUCUACAUGUCUCUGCCUUACUGAGGGCUGUGUUACAUUUUUCUUAAUGAUUCUGACUUACCUUCAUUUCACAAUGCUGCCAAUAUUUUUCUUAGCCUGUUUUAGUAUUUUUUCUUGUCAUAUCACAAGUGACAUAAAUAACGAUCUUCCAAUUUUCUUUCCUUCAUCUGAAGACCUAGAAUUAAAUGUUGGUUAUUAGUGAUAGUGUUUAUUUAUUUUACUUUUGUAUGUCUUAGUAUACAGAUGAGGAAAUUAUUUGGCAGCUAUUUGAGGGUAGCUGCCAGCAAGUCAAGAUUAGCAAAUGAAAAAGCUUACUAAAAUAGAUGCUAUAUGCACACAAUGUUUUCAUAACAGUAUUCAGCAAUUCAGUAUAUCAAGAGAAUUUAAACUUUACUUGCAUGUAUGUACUGUGUGUGUCCAUAAGGCCAGAAGAGGGUGGUGUUGGAUAUCCUGAAGCAGAAAUUACUGGCACUUGUAAACUGCUUGAUGUAGGUGCUGCGAACAGAACUCUGGAAGAGCAGGGAAUGCUUCUUAACCACAGACCUGUCUCUCUGGUUUUACUAAGAAUAAGAAUAGUAUUUAAGAAUACUUUGGGGCUGGUGAGAUGGCUCAGUGGGUAAGAGCACCCGACUGCUCUUCCGAAGGUCUGAAGUUCAAAUCCCAGCAACCAUAUGGUGGCUCACAACCACCCGUAAUGAGAUCUGAUGCCCUCUUCUGGUGUGUCUGAAGACAGCUACAGUGUACUUACAUAUAAUAAAUAAAUAAAUCUUUUAAAAAAAAAAAAAAAAAAAAAGAAUACUUUGAUGUUUUACCCUAAAGAAAACUUCCCUGGAGUCAAGACCCAUUGUUUCUCAGAUACAUCACUUACUAAACUCUGGGAUUUGAUCUGCAUCUAAACUUAUUUUAUUUGUGGAUAUGCAGUUGAUUGUACCAGGUGACUUUACCCUUUUGGUGACUAAGCUGGUGAUCUUCCUUUUGAGACUGUCUCCUGGAGCACAGGCUGCACUUAAGUCCUCUUACUCUGUUUGCUAAUACUGGAGGGAUUUCAGCUGUGUACCACCACACCCAGCUGCUUAGCCUCUGGAACUUCUCUUCAGAACCAGCUAUUUGUUUUUAUUUUGUAUACCUUACAGACUUUAUACUAAUUUUCUCUUCACUGUAGCUGGUUGAUGCCUAUCAUUCUUUCUGUGUCUGCCUCUACAUUUCUGUUAGUUGAUAGUUUCUAAAUUCCUUCCUACCCGACCUUCUAAACAUGUUUUUGUUUGUUUGAGCCAGGCUCUUACUAUAGCCUUAGCUGGAUCCAUCUGCUUCUGUCUACUUGUUCUGGGAUUAAAGGCAUGUGCUACCAUGCCCAGCCCCCAGUUUUGUUUUUGUUUUUAAGUUUUUAUUUUUUAUUUUUAUUUAUUUCUUGAGACCAAGGUUUCUUUGUAAUCUUGGCUCCCCUGAAACCAGGCUGUCCUUGAACUCCAGUUCAACCUGCCUCUGCUUCCCUAGGGCCUGUAUUAAAGGUGUUUGCACCAGCACCCAGUUGUUUUUCAGUUUUGUUUUUCCAGACAUGGUUUAUAUGUGUAACAGUCCUGGCUGUCUUGGAACUCACUCUGUAGACCAGGCUGGCCUCGAAUGUUUUUCAGUUUUAAAAAAAAACAUUUUUCAAAUUUUUUUGAGAUGGCAUGCUUUUUUGUUUUGUUUUGUUUUUUGAGACAGGGUUUCUCUGUAUAGCCCUGGCUGUCCUGUAACUCACUUUGUAGACCAGGCUGGCCUGGAACUCAGAAAUCCGCCUGCCUCUGCCUCCCGAGUGCUGGGAUCAAAGGCAUGCGUCACUACGCCCGGCUGGCAUCCAUUUUUUAAUAGUCCUGACUGUUCUGGAAUUUAUGGAGUAGCCCAGACUGGCUUUGAACUCAUGUCAAUCUUUCUGCCUUAGUUUUAUAAUGUUGGGGUUAUAGGCAUGAUCGACUACACAUGGCUUUAUCAUGCACUUUUUGGUCAGUGGGUAUUAACUUUUUUUUUUUUUUUUUUUUUUUUUAAGAAUUACUUAUUUUAUGUAUGAGUACACUGUUGCUGUCUUCAGACACACCAGAAGAGGGCAUCUGAUCUCAUUACAGGUGGUUGUGAGGAGUCAUUUCAUGGGUACCUUGCCAAAGCAGUUUUGUUGUGUUUUUUAAUAUUAUUUAUGUGUAUAUGCAGGCGACGAAGGAGCUCAGAUGGGUAUUGGAUUCCCUGGAGCUGUGGUUACAGGUAGUUGUGAGCUGCCCAAUCUGUAAGAAUAAUCUGUGCUCUUAACCUUUGAGCUUUCUUCCAGCUUUUUUUUUUUUUAAAGAUAGGAUUUCAUGUAGCUCAAGCUGACAUCAAAUGCCCUCUGUAGCUGGAGGUAACACUGAACUGAUCCACCUGCACCUACAGUCUCAAGUACAGGUACAGCACCAUGUCAGCUAUCAAGUAGUGUAGUUAGGAAGGAAAUAUAGCUGAAAAGAAUGGUGUGACUAAAGUUGUAGCUCGGGUGGUAGAGUGCUUGCCAGACAUGCAUGAAACUGUUCAAUCUCCAGGGCUGCGUAAGCCCAGCAGAGAGCUAUGUGCACUCAGGAGGAUCAGUGGUCAUCCAUCAUAGUGCAAAGUGAGUUUGAGGCCAGCCUGGGCAGCAGGAGACCUCGUCUCAACAAAAGAAAACCACAGGAAGGGAAUGAGGAUGUUAAGUCAGAAGGUCUUUUCUGUUUAUCAUCAGAGGUACUGAUCCAGGGCUGUGCACUGGACCUCAGCAUAGUGUGGGUUAGAAAACUGGAAGCAGAGUAUAUACACAGAGCAUUGUUAUACCUAACUUCUAAGGGUUGCUUUUAGCAGGCAUGUUGUCAAUGCUCAGAACACUUGCUGUGGUGUGAACCUGUGGAGUCUCUCCUUCCACUUUAGCCUGAGUUUACCAGUUGAUUAUUACGUACUUGCCUUUAUUAAUUUCUUAAAAAUUUAUUUAUCUGAUCAUCUUUGUGCCAGCAUUGAAGUGGUGGGAUAAUUCAGGUUGCGUUUUUCUCUCUCUCUUUUUAAAAAUGUAUUCAUUUAUUUUAUGUAUGUGAGCACACUGUAGCUGCAUCAGAAGAGGGCAUCAGAUCCCAUUACAGAUGGUUGUGAGCCACCAGGGUUAAACUCGGGGCCUGAAAGAGCAGACAGUGCUCUUAACCACUGAGCCAUCUCUCCAGUGCUCAGGUUGCAUUUUUUUAAUUAGAUAUUUUCUUUAUUUACAUUUCAAAUGCUAUUCCCAAAGCCCCCUAUACCCUCCCCCCGCCCUGCUCCCCAACCCACCCACCUCUGCUUCCUGGCAGGUUGCAUUUUUGUUAAAAUUUAUUACUGUUUUAUGUGUACAGAUGUUUUGCCCACAUAUCUAUACACCACAUCUGUGUCUGCUGUGAGCUGCCAUGGGCGUACUAGGAAUUGAACUCUGGUCCUCUGGAGGAACAGCCAGUGCUUUUGAUUUCUGAGCCAUCUCUCCAGACCUUGGAUUUCUUUUGUGUGUGUUAUGGUGUAUACUUGUUGCCUCACUAGAGUAUUUGUCAGUGUGAUAUAAGAGGUGCAGGAUGCUUUAGGUGAAAAAAACGGUUUCUGUUCUAGAUAUCAACAGCAGCAUGAGCUCUCUUCACUUAGAAGACUGGUUUGUUUAAAAUUCAAGCUGCCUGUGGUGGUGCAUACCUAUAUCUAUUUCCAGCAUUUGGGAGAUGGAGAGAAGAAGGAUAAGGAGUUGGAAGCCUGCCUAGGGGAACAUAAGACCUUACAUCAUAAAAUUCCAUAAAGCUUAGUAUUGUUAUUAAAUUAUUGAUGAGUUUACUAUAUUUAGUAAUAGUUCUAAUUUUGCCUACCUGAUCAUUGUAUUGGUUUCUUUCAGUUUGUGUGAAUUUCAUGGAAUUAUUUGAAAGCAACUCAACAACACCUGGGGGCUUAGUAACUUCCUGUAGAAUCCAUUUGAAGGCUGCUGCUCAUGUGGAACUCUCAGCAAACAUUUUCUAAUUACUCCUCUUAAAGAUUCACGUUGUAUGAAUGCCUUAUUUUGCACUAACAUUUACAUGCCUCCUCAUUCAUACAAUCAACAUAGUUGAACUUUAGUGUCUAACUGGAGUGUGUGUGGCAUAAAUCAAGCUCUGACCUGCAGAGGCUAGUUUGGUCAUCCAUUUGCCCAGUAUGCCAGGCAAAAUGAUAUUUUUUCCCCAAAAUUCAUAUUGGGAAAAGGGACAUGUAGUGUCCAGUGACCUCAAGAUCACUCCCUUUGAAGUACUGAUAGGCUUUUUUUUUUUUUUGGUUUUUCGAGACAGGGUUCUCUGUAUAGCCCUGACUGUCCUGGAACUCACUUUGUAGACCAGGCUGGCCUGGAACUCAGAAAUCCGCCUGCCUCUGCCUCCCAAGUGCUGGGAUUAAAGGUGUGCACCACUACACCCGGCUUACUGAUAGGCAUUUUAAAUAGAGGAAGAAUUAGGGUAAGGUACAACCUGGUUGGGGUGUGGUCUGGUUGAGCUUUGUUUUGAUUGUGAUUUGCAAGGUGGUCUGGAACAAUCUUUGUCUCUCAUCAUCAAGGGGCUCAGACUGGUUUAUACAACGUGAUUAUUGGCUAUGUUACAGGGUGCUCUCAUUUGGUUUGGAGGUUUGAGGGUGUGUUCUGAGGUUUUGUUCUCCCUGAUUUCCAAGGUGAAUGCAGAUUAAGGACAGUUUCUUAAUCCUUGCUUUCUCCCAAGUGAAGGAGACAUACUGAUGGACAAAGCAGGCUUUCAUCCUGGUUUUAGUUUCUUUGUAUGUGCCUGCAAGCAUGAAUAAGGUGUGGAUGUGUGUGUGCACAUGUGUGCAUGGAGAUGUCAGACAACUUUGUGGAGUCAGUUCUCGGCUUUUACCAUGGCUUCUAGAGAUCAGGUUGCCAGACAUCUGGCAGUGCUCUUACCCAAGGAGCUAUCUUGCCAGUCCUCAUCCCAAUGGUAGUUACUAUCUAAUAGGUUUAAGUGAGUACAGGAGCUUUUUUUGAAAAGCAUCUAAGUUCCCUUUUCAAGUAGAUACAUUAUUAUUUACCAUUAAUCAUAGAAAACCAUAACCAGUCAAAAUUCUAUUUAAAUUUAAUUCUAUUUAAAGUCAUAUUAAUGUUCUGUCUCUGCUUUGGAUUUUUGUUUUGUCUUUUUGAGACAGCGCUUCUUUGCAUAGCCAGCCUUGGAUCUCCUGGAAUUUUGGUCACAUCUGCUGCAAAGAUUUUAUGAAAUGUUAGACAUGUUUAGUGAAGAAUUUUAUGUUAAUAGAUGAGUGGGAGUCCUUGAAUGACCAUGUUGGUCCAGAAUUGGAUCAGGCAGCUUUUGUGCAAAGCUUUGAGGAACCCUGGUUAGGGUUAUGCUUCCAUUGGUGAUAUUAAGAGAAUAAUGAUGACUUACACGGAGGGCUUCAAUAACGCACUGUAGACAUUCAGAGGAAGAUUAGGCCUUGGAUUCAUGAUGCUGCUUGCUGUCCCUUAGUCUGUUGCAUAAAGGAAUAGAAAAUUUUAAAGAUGAAGGGCCUGAAUUUAUUGGGAUUUUAAAAAUAAGUGACUCAUACUGGUCAUUGAAGAAUUAGGUGGCUCCAUCAAAUAUCUGAUUACAGUUUAUCCCACCAGAGGGCAGUCAGAACAAUUAAAAA
Long non-coding RNA from Mus musculus (house mouse), 16941 nucleotides. RefSeq annotates it as predicted gene, 57767. Lineage: Eukaryota; Metazoa; Chordata; Mammalia; Rodentia; Muridae. The record is from RefSeq and is a predicted model, not a curated record. The transcript is spliced from 2 exons.